This 1372-nucleotide ribosomal RNA is filed under the name uncultured bacterium. Its description in RNAcentral is "bacterial SSU rRNA". It matches the Rfam family "Bacterial small subunit ribosomal RNA", at positions 28 to 1381 of the family's 1533-position model. The record is from RNAcentral.
GAUGAACGCUGGCGGCGUGCCUAAUACAUGCAAGUCGAGCGAACAGAUAAGGAGCUUGCUCCUUUGACGUUAGCGGCGGACGGGUGAGUAACACGUGGGCAACCUACCUAUAAGACUGGGAUAACUUCGGGAAACCGGAGCUAAUACCGGAUAACAUUUGGAACCGCAUGGUUCUAAAGUGAAAGAUGGUUUUGCUAUCACUUAUAGAUGGACCCGCGCCGUAUUAGCUAGUUGGUAAGGUAACGGCUUACCAAGGCGACGAUACGUAGCCGACCUGAGAGGGUGAUCGGCCACACUGGAACUGAGACACGGUCCAGACUCCUACGGGAGGCAGCAGUAGGGAAUCUUCCGCAAUGGGCGAAAGCCUGACGGAGCAACGCCGCGUGAGUGAUGAAGGGUUUCGGCUCGUAAAACUCUGUUAUUAGGGAAGAACAAAUGUGUAAGUAACUGUGCACGUCUUGACGGUACCUAAUCAGAAAGCCACGGCUAACUACGUGCCAGCAGCCGCGGUAAUACGUAGGUGGCAAGCGUUAUCCGGAAUUAUUGGGCGUAAAGCGCGCGUAGGCGGUUUCUUAAGUCUGAUGUGAAAGCCCACGGCUCAACCGUGGAGGGUCAUUGGAAACUGGGAAACUUGAGUGCAGAAGAGGAAAGUGGAAUUCCAUGUGUAGCGGUGAAAUGCGCAGAGAUAUGGAGGAACACCAGUGGCGAAGGCGACUUUCUGGUCUGUAACUGACGCUGAUGUGCGAAAGCGUGGGGAUCAAACAGGAUUAGAUACCCUGGUAGUCCACGCCGUAAACGAUGAGUGCUAAGUGUUAGGGGGUUUCCGCCCCUUAGUGCUGCAGCUAACGCAUUAAGCACUCCGCCUGGGGAGUACGACCGCAAGGUUGAAACUCAAAGGAAUUGACGGGGACCCGCACAAGCGGUGGAGCAUGUGGUUUAAUUCGAAGCAACGCGAAGAACCUUACCAAAUCUUGACAUCCUUUGAAAACUCUAGAGAUAGAGCCUUCCCCUUCGGGGGACAAAGUGACAGGUGGUGCAUGGUUGUCGUCAGCUCGUGUCGUGAGAUGUUGGGUUAAGUCCCGCAACGAGCGCAACCCUUAAGCUUAGUUGCCAUCAUUAAGUUGGGCACUCUAGGUUGACUGCCGGUGACAAACCGGAGGAAGGUGGGGAUGACGUCAAAUCAUCAUGCCCCUUAUGAUUAGGGCUACACACGUGCUACAAUGGACAAUACAAAGGGCAGCUAAACCGCGAGGUCAUGCAAAUCCCAUAAAGUUGUUCUCAGUUCGGAUUGUAGUCUGCAACUCGACUACAUGAAGCUGGAAUCGCUAGUAAUCGUAGAUCAGCAUGCUACGGUGAAUACGUUCCCGGGUCU